RNAcentral lists this ribosomal RNA (819 nucleotides) under Arthrobacter sp. RNAcentral's name for it is "bacterial SSU rRNA". It matches the Rfam family "Bacterial small subunit ribosomal RNA", at positions 49 to 878 of the family's 1533-position model. Lineage: Bacteria; Bacillati; Actinomycetota; Actinomycetes; Micrococcales; Micrococcaceae. The record is from RNAcentral.
UAACACAUGCAAGUCGAACGAUGAUCCCCAGCUUGCUGGGGGGAUUAGUGGCGAACGGGUGAGUAACACGUGAGUAACCUGCCCUUGACUCUGGGAUAAGCCUGGGAAACUGGGUCUAAUACCGGAUAUGACCAUUCCGCGCAUGCGGUGGUGGUGGAAAGCUUUUGCGGUUUUGGAUGGACUCGCGGCCUAUCAGCUUGUUGGUGGGGUAAUGGCCUACCAAGGCGACGACGGGUAGCCGGCCUGAGAGGGUGACCGGCCACACUGGGACUGAGACACGGCCCAGACUCCUACGGGAGGCAGCAGUGGGGAAUAUUGCACAAUGGGCGAAAGCCUGAUGCAGCGACGCCGCGUGAGGGAUGACGGCCUUCGGGUUGUAAACCUCUUUCAGUAGGGAAGAAGCGAAAGUGACGGUACCUGCAGAAGAAGCGCCGGCUAACUACGUGCCAGCAGCCGCGGUAAUACGUAGGGCGCAAGCGUUAUCCGGAAUUAUUGGGCGUAAAGAGCUCGUAGGCGGUUUGUCGCGUCUGCUGUGAAAGACCGGGGCUCAACUCCGGUUCUGCAGUGGGUACGGGCAGACUAGAGUGAUGUAGGGGAGACUGGAAUUCCUGGUGUAGCGGUGAAAUGCGCAGAUAUCAGGAGGAACACCGAUGGCGAAGGCAGGUCUCUGGGCAUUAACUGACGCUGAGGAGCGAAAGCAUGGGGAGCGAACAGGAUUAGAUACCCUGGUAGUCCAUGCCGUAAACGUUGGGCACUAGGUGUGGGGGACAUUCCACGUUUUCCGCGCCGUAGCUAACGCAUUAAGUGCCCCGCCUGGAG